GACGAACGCUGGCGGCGUGCUUAACACAUGCAAGUCGAACGAGAGAGCCCUUCGGGGUAAGUACAGUGGCGAACGGGUGAGUAACACGUGGGCAACCUGCCCCGGAGAGCGGGACAACCCGAGGAAACUCGGGCUAAUACCGCAUGAUGCGUCUCCACUUAAGUGGAGCCGCCAAAUGGUAGCUUCGGCCUCCGCUCUGGGAUGGGCCCGCGCCGGAUUAGCUAGUUGGUUGGGGUAAUGGCCCACCAAGGCGACGAUCCGUAGCUGGCCUGAGAGGACGAUCAGCCACACUGGGACUGAGACACGGCCCAGACACCUACGGGAGGCAGCAGUGGGGAAUCUUGCGCAAUGGGCGAAAGCCUGACGCAGCAACGCCGGGUGAGGGAAGAAGGCCUUCGGGUUGUAAACCUCUUUCAGUAGGGACGAAGCUUCCGGGGUUAAUAGCCCACGGGGUGACGGUACCUACAGAAGAAGCCCCGGCUAACUACGUGCCAGCAGCCGCCGCCG
This 507-nucleotide ribosomal RNA is filed under the name uncultured bacterium. RNAcentral's name for it is "partial 16S ribosomal RNA". It matches the Rfam family "Bacterial small subunit ribosomal RNA", at positions 28 to 523 of the family's 1533-position model. The record is from RNAcentral.